RNAcentral lists this unclassified non-coding RNA (329 nucleotides) under soil metagenome. RNAcentral's name for it is "partial contains 5.8S ribosomal RNA, internal transcribed spacer 2, and large subunit ribosomal RNA". The stretch from base 1 to 120 matches the Rfam family "5.8S ribosomal RNA", at positions 35 to 154 of the family's 154-position model. The record is from RNAcentral.
GAUGAAGAACGCAGCGAAAUGCGAUAAGUAAUGUGAAUUGCAGAAUUCAGUGAAUCAUCGAAUCUUUGAACGCACAUUGCGCCCCCUGGCAUUCCGGGGGGCAUGCCUGUUCGAGCGUCAUUACAACCCUCAAGCUCUGCUUGGUAUUGGGCUCUGCUGGGACCGGCAGGCCUUAAACUCAGUGGCGGCGCCACUCGGCUUCAAGCGUAGUAAUUCUUCUCGCUUCGGAGACCCGGGUGCGUGCUAGCCAGCAACCCCCAACUUUCUUAGGUUGACCUCGGAUCAGGUAGGGAUACCCGCUGAACUUAAGCAUAUCAAUAAGCGGAGGA